CCUACGGGGGGCAGCAGUGAGGAAUAUUGGUCAAUGGGCGCGAGCCUGAACCAGCCAAGUCGCGUGAGGGAAGACGGUCCUAUGGAUUGUAAACCUCUUUUGUCGGGGAGCAAAAGACGCCACGCGUGGCGUUCCGAGAGUACCCGAAGAAAAAGCAUCGGCUAACUCCGUGCCAGCAGCCGCGGUAAUACGGAGGAUGCGAGCGUUAUCCGGAUUUAUUGGGUUUAAAGGGUGCGAAGGCGGAAGAUCAAGGCAGCGGUAAAAUUGAGAGGGUCAACCGCUUCGAGCCGUUGAAACUGGUUGUCUUGAGUGAGUGAGAAGUAUGCGGAAUGCGUGGUGUAGCGGUGAAAUGCAUAGAUAUCACGCAGAACUCCGAUUGCGAAGGCAGCAUACCGGCGCUCAACUGACGCUCAUGCACGAAAGUGUGGGUAUCGAACAGGAUUAGAUACCCUGGUAGUC
This 459-nucleotide ribosomal RNA is filed under the name uncultured bacterium. RNAcentral's name for it is "partial 16S ribosomal RNA". It matches the Rfam family "Bacterial small subunit ribosomal RNA", at positions 338 to 795 of the family's 1533-position model. The record is from RNAcentral.